This 195-nucleotide ribosomal RNA is filed under the name uncultured Smithella sp. Its description in RNAcentral is "partial 16S ribosomal RNA". It matches the Rfam family "Bacterial small subunit ribosomal RNA", at positions 1191 to 1382 of the family's 1533-position model. Lineage: Bacteria; Pseudomonadati; Thermodesulfobacteriota; Syntrophia; Syntrophales; Smithellaceae. The record is from RNAcentral.
CCUCAUGGCCUUUAUGCUUAGGGCUACACACGUGCUACGAAUGGGUGGGUACAAAGAGAAGCCAACUCGCGAGAGCGCGCCAAUCUCAAAAAGCCAUCCUCCAGUUCGGAUUGGAGUCUGCAACUCGACUCCAUGAAGUUGGAAUCGCUAGUAAUCGCGGAUCAGCAUGCCGCGGUGAAUACGUUCCCGGGCCUU